This 705-nucleotide ribosomal RNA is filed under the name uncultured bacterium. Its description in RNAcentral is "bacterial SSU rRNA". It matches the Rfam family "Bacterial small subunit ribosomal RNA", at positions 56 to 755 of the family's 1533-position model. The record is from RNAcentral.
UGCAGUCGAACGGCAGCACGGGAGCAAUCCUGGUGGCGAGUGGCGAACGGGUGAGUAAUAUAUCGGAACGUGCCCAGUCGUGGGGGAUAACGCAGCGAAAGCUGUGCUAAUACCGCAUACGAUCUCUGGAUGAAAGCGGGGGACUCGUAAGAGCCUCGCGCGAUUGGAGCGGCCGAUAUCAGAUUAGCUAGUUGGUGGGGUAAAGGCCCACCAAGGCGACGAUCUGUAGCUGGUCUGAGAGGACGACCAGCCACACUGGAACUGAGACACGGUCCAGACUCCUACGGGAGGCAGCAGUGGGGAAUUUUGGACAAUGGGCGCAAGCCUGAUCCAGCAAUGCCGCGUGCAGGAUGAAGGCCUUCGGGUUGUAAACUGCUUUUGUACGGAACGAAAAGGUUUGCCUUAAUACGGUGGGCCCAUGACGGUACCGUAAGAAUAAGCACCGGCUAACUACGUGCCAGCAGCCGCGGUAAUACGUAGGGUGCGAGCGUUAAUCGGAAUUACUGGGCGUAAAGCGUGCGCAGGCGGUUAUAUAAGACAGAUGUGAAAUCCCCGGGCUCAACCUGGGACCUGCAUUUGUGACUGUAUAGCUAGAGUACGGUAGAGGGGGAUGGAAUUCCGCGUGUAGCAGUGAAAUGCGUAGAUAUGCGGAGGAACACCGAUGGCGAAGGCAAUCCCCUGGACCUGUACUGACGCUCAUGCACG